RNAcentral lists this ribosomal RNA (87 nucleotides) under Bacillus subtilis. The record is from RNAcentral. Lineage: Bacteria; Bacillati; Bacillota; Bacilli; Caryophanales; Bacillaceae. RNAcentral also lists the same sequence under 4 other names.
CGUUCCCAUACCGAACACGGAAGUUAAGCUCUUCAGCGCCGAUGGUAGUCGGGGGUUUCCCCCUGUGAGAGUAGGACGCCGCCAAGC